GUCUCGCUGGCCUAAUGGAUAAAGCAUCGAUUUCUGGAGCCGAAUAUUGAGGGUCUGAGUCCCUUCCGAGACG
This 73-nucleotide transfer RNA is filed under the name Echinostoma caproni. It matches the Rfam family "tRNA". Rfam says of the family: Transfer RNA (tRNA) molecules are approximately 80 nucleotides in length. Their secondary structure includes four short double-helical elements and three loops (D, anti-codon, and T loops). The record is from Rfam by way of RNAcentral. Lineage: Eukaryota; Metazoa; Platyhelminthes; Trematoda; Plagiorchiida; Echinostomatidae.